GAUGAAGAACGUAGCGAAAUGCGAUAAGUAGUGUGAAUUGCAGAAUUCAGUGAAUCAUCGAAUCUUUGAACGCACAUUGCGCCCGCUGGAACUCCGGCGGGCACGCCUGUCCGAGCGUCAUUUCAACCCUCAGGCCCCCCUUCGCGGGCGGGCCUGGUGUUGGGGCCCGGCCGCUACCCUGCGGCCGUCCCCUAAAUCCAGUGGCGGCCUCGCCGUGAUCCCUUGCGUAGUAAUGCACCUCGCACCGGAGAGCGCCGUGGCCACGCCGUAAAACCCCCAAUUUUCAAUGGUUGACCUCGGAUCAGGUGGGAAUACCCGCUGAACUUAAGCAUAUCAAUAAGCGGAGGA
RNAcentral lists this unclassified non-coding RNA (348 nucleotides) under soil metagenome. RNAcentral's name for it is "partial contains 5.8S ribosomal RNA, internal transcribed spacer 2, and large subunit ribosomal RNA". The stretch from base 1 to 120 matches the Rfam family "5.8S ribosomal RNA", at positions 35 to 154 of the family's 154-position model. The record is from RNAcentral.